Molecule: ribosomal RNA, 1215 nt
Filed under: Triticum aestivum (bread wheat)
Lineage: Eukaryota; Viridiplantae; Streptophyta; Magnoliopsida; Poales; Poaceae
Description: partial small subunit ribosomal RNA
Source: RNAcentral
AUGCAUUGGUUCGCAUGGUGGAAAUUGUGUAUACCGAAGAAGAAAGGGGGAUUGGGGUUUAGGGACCUUCACAGUUUAAAUCUUGCUAUGUUAGCAAAACAGUGUUGGCGACUUCUCCAAAACCCAGACUCUUUGUGUGCACAUGUCCUCAAAGCGAAAUAUUAUCCAGAUGGAAAUUUGUUAAAAGCUGACCCAAAGAAGGGAUCUUCCUAUACUUGGCAGAGCAUAGUGGCAGGGAUCCAGACUUUCAAUAGAGGGUGUAUAUGGAGAAUUGGGACGGGAUCUCAGAUUGACAUAUGGAAUGACCCCUGGAUUCCAGCUAGUGUAACACGGAAGGUAAUCACACCAAGGGGUGUGCUAAUGCUCUCAAAAGUUGUUGAGCUUAUUAAUCCGCAUACUGGCAUGUGGGACGAAGUGCUCUUGAGAGACUGCUUCUCACCAGUUGAUGUAAAUCGGAUUCUACAAAUACCCCUAAACAGUAAUAUCGAGGAUGAUUUCGUAGCUUGGAAUUAUACUAGGUCAGGCACAUUCUCAAUGCGCUCAGCAUACUACAGAGAACUUGAUCAUCAGAUCGGGACUAGGCUCUCAAGGUCGGAUGGACAAGGAAGUAUCCAGGUAAAUGGUAUAUGGAAAGAUGCAUGGAAGCUCAAAGUUCCUGGGAAAGUAAAACACUUCACUUGGAAGGUUCUACAUGGGGUACUGCCAUGCUUGGGGGUAUUGGCUGCUCGCCACAUUCCGAUAAUGCCACAGUGCCCGCGAUGUAGGAUUGGAAUGGAGGAUAUCCAACACACCUUGUUUACUUGCUGUGACGUCCAGGUUGUUUGGGCUCGGCUGGGGCUGCUUGAUACACUUCGGAGGGCGAUUGCUGAAGAUAGAUCAGGGUCAGUAACGAUGGAAAUUUUAAUCAAGCUGAAUUCAACAACAGAUGGCUUGCCGACUGCGGAACUAGUUUCUGUAACGGCAUGGUUUUUAUGGUGGCAGCGUAGGCAGCUAGCUAAAGGAGUGCAGGUGCAAUCACCUGAGAGGACGGCCAUAUCUAUCAAAGCUCUAGCAACAAACUACACAAGAUCGCUCACUCCAAAAUUGCCAAUGAGGCCGAGGGAUCAUAUGUGGAAGAAACCUUCCUAUGGCAUGGUGAAAGCUAACGUCGAUGCAGCUUUUCAUGCAGACACACUCUCGGGAGCAAGUGGAGCUCUUGUUCGAGAUGACAAAUGA